Molecule: small nuclear RNA, 105 nt
Organism: Octopus sinensis (East Asian common octopus)
Lineage: Eukaryota; Metazoa; Mollusca; Cephalopoda; Octopoda; Octopodidae
Source: RefSeq, a predicted model, not a curated record
UAUUGCCUCGGCCAUGCAUAUACUAAAAUCAAAACGAUACAGGGAAGGUUAUCAUGGUCCCGGCACAUGGAUAACACUCAAAUUCGUGAAUCAUUCCAUUACUUU